Molecule: ribosomal RNA, 706 nt
Filed under: Isoptericola sp. DBQ_29S
Lineage: Bacteria; Bacillati; Actinomycetota; Actinomycetes; Micrococcales; Promicromonosporaceae
Description: bacterial SSU rRNA
Rfam family: Bacterial small subunit ribosomal RNA
Source: RNAcentral
GCCGCAACUGACGCUGAGGAGCGAAAGCAUGGGGAGCGAACAGGAUUAGAUACCCUGGUAGUCCAUGCCGUAAACGUUGGGCACUAGGUGUGGGACUCAUUCCACGAGUUCCGUGCCGCAGCUAACGCAUUAAGUGCCCCGCCUGGGGAGUACGGCCGCAAGGCUAAAACUCAAAGGAAUUGACGGGGGCCCGCACAAGCGGCGGAGCAUGCGGAUUAAUUCGAUGCAACGCGAAGAACCUUACCAAGGCUUGACAUGCACCGGACGCUGCCAGAGAUGGUGGUUCCGCAAGGUCGGUGCACAGGUGGUGCAUGGUUGUCGUCAGCUCGUGUCGUGAGAUGUUGGGUUAAGUCCCGCAACGAGCGCAACCCUUGUCCUAUGUUGCCAGCGGGUUAUGCCGGGGACUCAUGGGAGACUGCCGGGGUCAACUCGGAGGAAGGCGGGGAUGACGUCAAAUCAUCAUGCCCCUUAUGUCUUGGGCUUCACGCAUGCUACAAUGGCCGGUACAGAGGGCUGCGAUACCGUAAGGUGGAGCGAAUCCCAAAAAGCCGGUCUCAGUUCGGAUUGGGGUCUGCAACUCGACCCCAUGAAGUCGGAGUCGCUAGUAAUCGCAGAUCAGCAACGCUGCGGUGAAUACGUUCCCGGGCCUUGUACACACCGCCCGUCAAGUCACGAAAGUUGGUAACACCCGAAGCUCACGGCCCAA